AGUGAACGCUGGCGGUAGGCCUAACACAUGCAGGUCGAACGGCAGCACAGUAAGAGCUUGCUCUUACGGGUGGCGAGUGGCGGACGGGUGAGGAAUACAUCGGAAUCUACUUUUUCGUGGGGGAUAACGUAGGGAAACUUACGCUAAUACCGCAUACGACCUACGGGUGAAAGCAUGGGAUCUUCGGACCUUGCGCGAUUGAAUGAGCCGAUGUCGGAUUAGCUAGUUGGCGGGGUAAAGGCCCACCAAGGCGACGAUCCGUAGCUGGUCUGAGAGGAUGAGCAGCCACACUGGAACUGGGACACGGUCCAGGCUCCUACGGGAGGCAGCCGUGGGGAAUAUUGGACAAUGGGCGCAAGCCUGAUCCAGCCAUACCGCGUGGGUGAAGGAGGCCUUCGGGUUGUAAAGCCCUUUUGUGGGGAAAGAAAAGCAGCAGGUUAAUACCCCGCUGUUCUGACGGUACCCAAAGAAUAAGCACCGGCUAACUUCGUG
RNAcentral lists this ribosomal RNA (492 nucleotides) under uncultured bacterium. Its description in RNAcentral is "partial 16S ribosomal RNA". It matches the Rfam family "Bacterial small subunit ribosomal RNA", at positions 29 to 507 of the family's 1533-position model. The record is from RNAcentral.